UCUGAUUGUAUUUACAUACUGAGUCCACUAGGGGGCAGAAAGCUAAGUUAUCAGUUAGAAAGUAUCCCGCUCCUGAUCGGCUAAUGAAGCCCUUGUUGCUCUCUUCGUGUUUGUGCUGUUUUAUUUCUUAAAUCUUCUUUCUACUUUAACAUGAAGUCAAUGUUUUAUCUGUCAGUGUGAACUACAAGCAGCUGCACAGAGAUGAAAACAGCGCGCAGAGACUGAGCGGAGCUAGCGAUGCUAGCGAUGCUAACAGGCUCCAGGAGCAGCUUCAGAGGAGCUGUGGUUCCUAAACUGGAGCUUCAGCUCCAACAGAGCUGAAACAAAGCUCUACAACUCUGGUUUAGACGCUAAGAUGUUGAGUUUCCGGUCUGAAGGUAGGAAAAUAUUUAUGAAAAGUUAAAUUAUCCUGGAAACAGUCAGAAUGAUGUUGAUGUUUUCGCUGCAGAGCGACGAACUGAACUAUUAUUGAUAUCAGAGCAGGGCGGUUUCUGCCCUCUAGUGGACCCAGAUGGUAACUACAGCUACUUGAUAAAGUUAGAGCGUUUACAAACGACAUGCACUUCCGUUCCUUCAUUCAGAGACUCAAACUGAAAUGUUCUUUAGUGAAGAAGAAGCUUCAUCUGGAUCUGAUGUUGAAGCUGCAGUUUGAAUCCGUCUCAGGAUUCGGUUCAGAAUCCAGUUCAUGUCACUGAUCAGCAUCAUUGUGGCUCCAGAACGUGGCCCACCUCUACCUGUGCAGGCUGGAGGAGGCUAAGAGGAGGUUCUGAUGGAUCCGGUCUUUACCAGCUGUGGACACUGGUUCUGCAGGAAAUGCAUCAGGUGCUACUGGGACCAGUCUGUUCCAUUUGGACCCUCCUCCUGCCCCCAGUGUGGGGGCAGGAGGAGGGAGACUCUUCAUACUUGAAGAGUCCGGUUCUGUUUUUGUGCUGAAAGUUUGGAACAAUCAUGUUUUUGUU
Long non-coding RNA from Gambusia affinis (western mosquitofish), 959 nucleotides. RefSeq lists it as uncharacterized. The transcript is spliced from 3 exons. The record is from RefSeq and is a predicted model, not a curated record. NCBI's taxonomy places the organism in Eukaryota, Metazoa, Chordata, Actinopteri, Cyprinodontiformes, Poeciliidae.